CACACUAUUGGCCCAACUAACGGAGGGGGCGGGACUAUUUGUUUGUCCAGACAAUGGAAACGGUUGAAACGUUGGCCGAGGAAUUGAAGGAGGGACUCGUACUCAACUGUGUGGUGUGAUGUGGAGUCGGUGCAGUGGUCUCCUGUUGUGUGUGAGGUGCGAAAGGCACUGCACACUUCUUGAGGAGUUGAGGACAGAUUGAGUUCUGUACUGCUGAACAGCUGUCAUUCCCUGCUCACUGUCAGACAACAUUCAGGGACGCCUGGGGUUCUGACAGCUCUACCACCAUCCACAACGUUUAUUUAUCUGAGGAGGAGAAAGAGAAGCUGGAGUGGAUGAUGCUCAGCGUUGAUAUCUGUUCAGAGAGCGGCAGAGGGAAUGAAAGAAUGGAAGGAGGAGGUGCAAAGAAGAGGAGGAGGUAAAAAUAAAUUGCAUUCCCCUCCUAACAGGGAGCCUUCACUAAUUAUGCUGUUUGAGUCCUCACAGAAGCCAAGUCUUCUAAAUAGACCUGUGCUCGG
Carassius auratus (goldfish) is the source of this 518-nucleotide long non-coding RNA. RefSeq lists it as uncharacterized. Lineage: Eukaryota; Metazoa; Chordata; Actinopteri; Cypriniformes; Cyprinidae. The transcript has 3 exons. The record is from RefSeq and is a predicted model, not a curated record.